RNAcentral lists this ribosomal RNA (102 nucleotides) under Chthamalus stellatus. Its description in RNAcentral is "partial 12S ribosomal RNA". Lineage: Eukaryota; Metazoa; Arthropoda; Thecostraca; Balanomorpha; Chthamalidae. The record is from RNAcentral.
AAAUUCUCAGUAAAAAAUAUUAGMUCAAAAAUGAAAGUUGUAUCUAGGAAAUCACUUAAGAGUGGAAAAUAGCGUGCCAGCAGCCGCGGUUAUACGUAUGCU